Rattus norvegicus (Norway rat) is the source of this 4933-nucleotide long non-coding RNA. RefSeq lists it as uncharacterized. NCBI's taxonomy places the organism in Eukaryota, Metazoa, Chordata, Mammalia, Rodentia, Muridae. The record is from RefSeq and is a predicted model, not a curated record.
UCUGCAGGGCCUUUAAACUGAGGCUGGCUGGAGGACAUGAGUCCAGGGGAUACUAAAAAGAGUUCUUGAUGAUGGGCAAGUGGCACAGGAGGCUGGAGAUGGAACCAAGGUCUAUCCACGAAGAGAGAGCUCUGAGGACAGCUCUCACUAUCCUUGUGGAAGCUGCAGAGCUGUGCAAUUAGUCCAGGAGAAGGAGCACGGGGAACAAGGUACUCUAGGGCCAUGAUUACGAUGCUGGCAAGUCUAAUGGAGCCGAGGCUGACCCUGCCCUUGUUGAUAUUUACAGGGGAAUAAAAGCCAGAGACCGCUUCAUCUCUUUGUCUCUUCAUAUCCCCUCUAAAGAGGGUGGAACCGAGUUUUGUACAUUUAAAAGUGACAUUUAAUUAAUCACGUCAGAAGAUGGCAGGGCUGGAAGAGACUUGAGACUGUCUAACCCAAACUCCUAAUUUAACGGCGAGGAGGUACUCCCAGGAAGGUUAGCUAAUCUGCCAAGAUCCCGUGUAGUAAAUGAUGCUGGCACCUUCCGGCUGUGACCAGUCUGCCUGCUGAACUCUGAGUGGGUACAGAGAGUGCUAGGCGGGCGUAAAGAAGAGAGAAGAGAGGCGGGCGGUAGUUUGUGUGCGUGCAGGCCUGCAACAUGGUAUAGUAUGAAGAAGGUCACGUGCCCAGUUAUGCAGUAAGGAUGCCAAGAUGUCAGAUGGGCAGGGGCUGUGGUAGGAUCUUCCUAGGUCUAUAUGGAGGUACGGCUUGCAGCACCAUUGGCAAGAAUGGUUGAGGCAUUGUCUGGACUCCGUGGUUUGCUCCGUGCUUGAUUCAUGCUAUUAAGCCACAGGCACACUUGAGGAGCGCCCACAAAUAUGCCAAUUACCUCUUUUGAUGUUUACAGCUAAUGCUGCGGAUGUUCCUGAACCCUGGGGUCUUCUUCCCCCAAGUAAACCUGGUAGAUUCUUCCCAGGAAAAGACACACUAUUCUAUGAUUGUGAAUAGCCUGAUAGGAACCCACCGGAUGCAGGAAGAAAGAAAGGAGGGAAGCUUGCAGGAGGCAGUGCUGGUAGCUCCUGGAGUCCUGCUGCCUUGGCUACCGAUAAAAGACUCCUCUGCAAGGUUGCUGCAGGAACCGAGAGCUGUCCUAUCCCCCGGGGAUAUUUACUCAGAAGCAACAGAAGCAUGUGGCCAGUCUUGGGUAAGGCAUGUAGCUUUCUGCCAUCGUGGAGACUUCAACAUCCCAGCUGCAACAUUUCCGACAGAGGCCACCACCUGAGACUUCGGGGACUACACAAAGGUGGAAGGGGUGGUGGGGAUAGCAGCUAGGGGCAGGACAGUGUGGGGCUCUCUUCCAUGGCUCAACAUUGUUUCUGGGAGGAAAGAGGGCUUGGAGAGGUGGUAUUGGGGGAAUGAAAUUCAUACACAGCAGGAAUUAUGUGGUCCAGUGGUGCCUCCAGCCGUGACCCAAUGGAUUCAUUAGUAUUAGUAUAUUUAUUCUCUCUCUUGUCUGUCUGUCUGUCUGUCUGUCUCUCUAUGCAUGUCAACAGUGUUUCCCCUCUGACUCCAAAUCAAGAUUCAGCUCUACCCCAUGUCCUGUCAAUCUCCACGCUCUGUGCAAAUCUGUCUCAUCCUUCCUUCCACCUGUCCCAAAGCCCUCCUCUGCUCCUUGGAGACAAGCUCACCAUCUCUCCUUGGAGACCAGCUCUAGGUCUACCACAAUCAUGGAACUGAACACAGAUGACGUCCUACACUACACUACACUGAUUUACUUCAGCCUCCACUUACUACCCUCGUUGGAAACAAUUCAGCCCCAGCAUCAAGGACCUUGGGACUUCUCCCGAAUGAAUUCAGGUCAUGAGUGAGCAUUAGUCUGCCAUGGGUCCCCACCCCUUGCAUAUUCACUGUGAAUCCGAACUAAACCGUAACUGGUUACUUUAUUUAAACCCCGCAUAGAGCCUUCUCUUUUAAUAAAACAGAAUCCGUUAAGGAUUAUAAACAAGCAGUGUUUUAUGAACUAAAACUGCAGUGCACUAGUCACUCAAGGGCAAACAUUGGGCUCUGGGCGGUCGAGCCAGCUAUAAAUAAAGAUAAGGCCCUGCCAGGCGGGGGCCUCGGUAGAGUAAUUGCUGCCUUCACAAUCAGUCUCCCCACUCUUCCUGCAGGGCCACAAAUCACCAUGGUAUUGGGUCACUGCCCACUGGAUUCAGCCCCGAGACAGAGAGAUAGGAAAGCGGUUCAUUAGCACCAAGACUGAGUGUCUAGGCUCCAGAGGAAAGUGAGGUAUGUACCCGCCCUACAAUGUGCACACACUUCACAUGGCUGCAGGAGGGGGUCAACAGCAUGGAGCCUUUACAAGGGAGUUCUACCCAGCAUCCACAUCUGCAGUUGGUUGGGGAGGAAGAACUCACCCUGCAAGCUACCUGAGGACACCUCUCUCACUUGGACACGAAGCCCAUCUGACCCAGGGAAGAGACUGAAAAGACACAAAGGAACGUUAUAAAGAGGAGAAAAGCAUGUCCCACAGUCCUCAUUCCUCUGUGAGCCGCUCAGCUGCUAUCUCUUUGCUUUGGAGUCUUCCGUAGUAGCAUGACAUCAUCGACCACGACAUCAGUUUCCAAACACCAGUGAAGUGUCAGCCGUGCCUCCCAGCACCAAUAAUGUGAGAUUCCAGUGUUUUGUUACAGAGGAAAUACAGUUUGCAUUAGUAUAUCCCGAGGCUUACAGAGGUUAAGAACCUCUGUCAAGGUUAUGUGGAUAGCAACUUGUAUGGCUACAGUAUAAACUCAGUCUGACACCGUGGUCCAUGCUCAGACCCACACAAUAUUACUGCGGUAUGGUCUCCAUUUCCACCUACGUCAGCAGUUGAACGUGUGAGCAUGCAUGUGUCUAUGUGUAUGAGAGAGGCAGUAAGAGAGCUGGUUUACAACAGGGAGACUGAAUUUUUUUUUCUUUUUUUUUUUCUUUUUUUUUUCAGAGCUGGGGACCGAACCCAGGGCCUUCCACUUGCUAGGCAAGUGCUCUACCACUGAGCUAAAUCCCCAACCCUGAGACUGAAUUAAAAACAUGGUAAAAAAUAAAUAAAUAAUGGAGACUGAAUGCUCGGAGGAGAAGGCCCUACGGUCUCACACUGCCCAUAGCAGUAAAGUACCAGGCUUGGAUAGCCAUUCCCGGGGAAAAGCCAACUGUGUGGAAGGAAUUCAUCGAACCUCGAGUGUGGAUCACACACAUGUUUGUGUGCGUCUCAUCUUCACCAGAGUUCUAUGGUGCAGAACGAGAAAGGGAUUGCCGUCUUGAUUUUUGGGGUGGGAGCACUGAGGCCCAUUGCACUGUGAGCUUGCCUCUCUCUCUCAUGACGUUCCCGCCCACAGCACCCUCACCUCCAUUUUCUAUUGCUUGGCAGUGUCACUUGCCACUGAUGCAGUCUGUGCACUGGAGUUUCCCUGGGACCAGAAUGCCCCCAAAUUCCCACAGGGGCCUCAGAGCAGAGCUCUACUCCUCCCCUCAGUUUGGAGGCCCCUUCCAGGGCAUCUUCUUUGACCUUUCUGGUGGCCGUUUUCUGCUCUCACAACCCUGCACUGUUCCUUCCUGAGGAAUUACGUAGUUUGCCGCUUCCCACAACUAGCUGAGGCGCCCGUUUCUUGAGCAUCCAGUUCUCGGGGCUACAAACCCCUAAAGGUGCAGGACGCCCUCCUUCACUCAAAUCUCAUCUCAAGGAGAAUUUAACACCAAGCUGGGGAAUUCAGUGGAAGCCAGGAGAAGGAAUAUAUAAAUCUAGAAUGACAGAGAGAUACAGCGUGUCCCUAACAUGUGGGGUCUGAGGGACUGUGGAAGGAUGGUCUCUUUAGAAGCUAUAUCCCAAAAACCUCUCAAGGGCCCAGGUCUCUGAUCUUAAUCUUGGCCUUCAGGACGACUUCUAUGGCAGAAAGAUGAGCACUGGAUGACAUUCCCCAAACCAAAACCCUACUACCUGGGUAGAAAGAAAUGGGCUCCAUCCUACUACGGCAGAAGCUCAAGUGAUCGGAGAAAGGGAAAGCCACGGGCUAAGAUACUACCAGCCUGGGAUGCAGCCUCUUGGCUUCUUUAAUCUUCCAGAGAAAACUCCUUUUAUAACCAGCCCAAUUCUGUUUAACUGUGGGUCUUUUGUCCUUCCCCCUUACAACUGCCACCUUUUAAAACCAAGUCACAAAAUUAAUUGCCCCUUAAUGAAGCAGGGUGGCGAUUAAGGGCAGUGAGCCUUGUGAAGAAGGAGAAACACAGUUGUUGGAGGCGUACCAUCAGGAGCCGAGCUUCGGAGGCAUCGUUCUGGUUGUAAUUAUUUUCCAAGGCUGCGUGACACCUUCUUAGACCUGGCCAGAGCUGCCAGGCUCCGCAGAAAGCCAUUGUUCCCUCAGAGUUAAUUAGAGUCCAAUUUGGAGCUUCCUGUCUCCCGGACUGGAGAGGAAGUACAGUUUAUUACUGCUCUGUGCCCACCAGGUCCACUGAGGACAAGGACACAACAGACUCUCACCUGGUCCGUUCUAGUCUGUGCAGCGCAGAUGUGCCCAGAGGGGACAGAUGUGCAUUGGCUGAAGAAGUCUACAGCUGCAGGUCAGCCCUGGCAAGGCAAGCCAAAGGAGGCCUCGAGCUCAUGGGAGAAAGAACCCCAGGUUGAACUCUGGAGACCUUUGCUCCAGUGCCUGCUUAUACAUUGCAACUGUGUAAAGUCAUCACUCAAAAGAAAAAAUUAUGCUGACAGAGGCAAUGGCUACCUUCCUCGUGGCUCAGAGAACAAAUGCCUGGGUUCCCCAUUAGCAACAGUGUUCUGACGCUUGACAACAUUUCACGGGAAAUGGAAGCUUCCUUUUGAGCAGCCACAAAGGAAUCUUCUAACAAUAAGCUCUUAGGUGACAAGAGUAAAGGCAGUCACAGUGGCCUACUCGCUCAGCAACUGAUUAAAGAAAUGACAACA